This 253-nucleotide ribosomal RNA is filed under the name uncultured bacterium. RNAcentral describes it as "partial 16S ribosomal RNA". It matches the Rfam family "Bacterial small subunit ribosomal RNA", at positions 524 to 776 of the family's 1533-position model. The record is from RNAcentral.
UACGGAGGAUGCAAGCGUUAUCCGGAUUUACUGGGUUUAAAGGGUGCGCAGGCGGAACGAUCAGUCAGUGGUGAAAUCUCCCGGCUUAACCGAAAAACUGCCAUUGAUACUAUCGUUCUUGAGUCCAGUUGAAGUAGGCGGAAUGUAGCAUGUAGCGAUGAAAUGCUUAGAUAUGCUACAGAACACCGAUAGCGAAGGCAGCUUACUAAACUGAAACUGACGCUCAGGCACGAAAGCGUGGGUAGCAAACAGG